This 386-nucleotide ribosomal RNA is filed under the name Aulacorthum ibotum. RNAcentral's name for it is "partial 12S ribosomal RNA". The record is from RNAcentral. Lineage: Eukaryota; Metazoa; Arthropoda; Insecta; Hemiptera; Aphididae.
AUUUUAGUCUUAUUAGAGGAACCUGUUUUUUAAUUGAUAAUCCACGAUUAAUUUUACUUAUUUUAUUUUAAUUCAUAUAUCGCUGUCAUGAAUAUAUUUAAAAAUUAAUUUUCUUUAUUUAUUAUUGUAAUUUAUGUUAAGUCAAGAUGUGGUUUAUAAAUAAGUGUAUAAUGGGUUACAUUAAAUUUUAUUUAUGGAUUUUAAAUGAAAAUUAUGAUGAAAUUGGAUUUAAUAGUAAAUUUAUUUAUUUAAUUAAUAUGAAGAAAGAUCUAAAAUAUGUACAUAUUGCCCGUCAUUCUUAUUAAAAAUAAGACAAGUCGUAACAAAGUAAAUGUACUGGAAAGUGUAUUUAGAAAGAUUAUAUUUUAUAUAAAUAAAUAUCUAAA